This 496-nucleotide ribosomal RNA is filed under the name uncultured bacterium. RNAcentral describes it as "partial 16S ribosomal RNA". It matches the Rfam family "Bacterial small subunit ribosomal RNA", at positions 28 to 506 of the family's 1533-position model. The record is from RNAcentral.
GACGAACGCUGGCGGCGUGCCUAAUACAUGCAAGUCGAGCGAUGAAGAUUGGUGCUUGCACCAAUUUGAAGAGCAGCGAACGGGUGAGUAACGCGUGGGGAAUCUGCCUUUGAGCGGGGGACAACAUUUGGAAACGAAUGCUAAUACCGCAUAACAACUUUAAACAUAAGUUUUAAGUUUGAAAGAUGCAAUUGCAUCACUCAAAGAUGAUCCCGCGUUGUAUUAGCUAGUUGGUGAGGUAAAGGCUCACCAAGGCGAUGAUACAUAGCCGACCUGAGAGGGUGAUCGGCCACAUUGGGACUGAGACACGGCCCACACUCCUACGGGAGGCAGCAGUAGGGAAUCUUCGGCAAUGGGCGAAAGUCUGACCGAGCAACGCCGCGUGAGUGAAGAAGGUUUUCGGAUCGUAAAACUCUGUUGGUAGGGAAGAACGUUGGUGAGAGUGGAAAGCUCAGCAAGUGACGGUACCUACCCAGAAAAGGCCGGCGAACUACGU